Molecule: ribosomal RNA, 1470 nt
Filed under: uncultured bacterium
Lineage: Bacteria
Description: bacterial SSU rRNA
Rfam family: Bacterial small subunit ribosomal RNA
Source: RNAcentral
GAGUUUGAUCAUGGCUCAGGAUAAACGCUGGCGGCGUGCAUAACACAUUCAAGUCGAACGGUGACGGUUCCUUCGGGAGCCUGAUCAGUGGCGGACGGGUGAGUAACGCGUGAGUAACCUGCCUUCCGAUGGGGGAUAACGUUCGGAAACGGACGCUAAUACCGCAUGACACGUGCUGACCGCAUGAUCGGUACGUCAAAGAUUUAUUGUCGGAAGAUGGGCUCGCGUUGGAUUAGAUAGUUGGCGGUGUAAGGGACCACCAAGUCUGCGAUCCAUAGCCGGACUGAGAGGUUGAACGGCCACAUUGGAACUGAGAGACGGUCCAGACUCCUACGGGAGGCAGCAGUGGGGAAUAUUGGGCAAUGGGCGAAAGCCUGACCCAGCGACGCCGCGUGAAGGAAGAAGGUUUUCGGAUUGUAAACUUCAGUAAGCAGGGACGAAGGAAGUGACGGUACCUGCAGAGUAAGCCACGGCUAACUACGUGCCAGCAGCCGCGGUAAUACGUAGGUGGCGAGCGUUAUCCGGAAUUACUGGGUGUAAAGGGUGUGUAGGCGGGGCGAUAAGUCUGAUGUGAAAAUUAGAGGCUCAACUUCUAACGUGCAUUAGAAACUACCGUUCUUGAGAGUCGGAGGGGUGAACGGAAUUCCCGGUGUAGCGGUAAUAUGCGUAGAUAUCGGGAAGAACACCAGCGGCGAAGGCGGUUCACUGGACGACAACUGACGCUGAGACACGAAAGCGUGGGGAGCAAACAGGAUUAGAUACCCUGGUAGUCCACGCCCUAAACGAUGAAUGCUAGGUGUGGGUACGAACUGUAUCCGUGCCGCAGCCAACGCAAUAAGCAUUCCACCUGGGGAGUACGGCCGCAAGGUUAAAACUCAAAGGAAUUGACGGGAGCCCGCACAAGCAGUGGAGUAUGUGGAUUAAUUCGACGCAACGCGAAGAACCUUACCAGGACUUGACAUCCUGCGAACCUGGUGUAAAUGCCGGGGUGCCUUUCGAGGAGCGCAGAGACAGGUGGUGCAUGGUUGUCGUCAGCUCGUGUCGUGAGAUGUUGGGUUAAGUCCCGCAACGAGCGCAACCCUUACGGUUAGUUGCUACGCAAGAGCACUCUGGCCGGACUGCCGUUGACAAAACGGAGGAAGGUGGGGACGACGUCAAAUCAUCAUGCCCCUUACGUUCUGGGCCUCACACGUACUACAAUGGCGCAAACAAAGGGAAGCGAAGCCGCGAGGCAGAGCAAAACCCAAAAAAGGCGUCUCAGUUCGGACUGCAGGCUGCAACUCGCCUGCACGAAGUUGGAAUUGCUAGUAAUCGCGGAUCAGCAUGCCGCGGUGAAUACGUUCCCGGGCUUUGUACACACCGCCCGUCAAACCAUGAAAGUUGGGGACACCCGAAGUCAGUGAGCUAACCGCAAGGGGGCAGCUGCCGAAGGUGGAUUCAAUGAUUGGGGUUAAGUCGUAACAAGGUACC